Molecule: long non-coding RNA, 41396 nt
Filed under: Capsicum annuum
Lineage: Eukaryota; Viridiplantae; Streptophyta; Magnoliopsida; Solanales; Solanaceae
Description: long non-coding RNA (CANN_LNC017127)
Source: RNAcentral
CCAUUAUCAUUAUGCACCAUGCUUCCCCAAUCAAUAUGCCAACAUGCUUCACCAAUAUUCUUCCCUCUACCACUAUGCCAUCCUUCAAACAUUCUUCCCCUAUCAAUAUGCCAUCAUACUUUACUAACAUUCAACACAUAUGCACCUGGUACCUAGUUUCGACCACAUGAAUUCAGUAUUUCCCCUUUUGGCAUCAUUGAAAAGUGAUAAUAGUAAAACAAGAGUAAAAUAAGCACAAAUUAGUUAACUCAUGGACACAAGGGCAACACUAACAUGAAGAACAACUUUAAAGUAAGAAGAGAUAGAUGCAACACACAAAUAAAGGAUUCAUUCAUUUUUUAAAGAGACUAAUACCAUUACAGCAUACCAAAAUAAACAUAAAAAUUCUAGUUAAUCAAAAGCCACUUUAGAAACAAGAAUUGGAAACUGACACAGAGAUUAUAAAGGGACAAAGUCGAUAGGACUUAGGUAGUGGGAGGCUUAGGGAAAAAUGAUUUAAGAAAAAACUAGGAUAUAUAACUCUCUCCAACAUAAGCAUUCAACAUUUACUUGGUGAGGUCUUUAAAUUCUGCAUUCAGCUCUUAAACCUCCUUAUUGAUGUAAUACCCCGAGAAUCCCAAUCGAUAGUAGAACCAUGAUUCAAGAUAAUGAGAAAUAAAAUUUAGUGACUUGGUAGUUUUAUGAUUAAUUUGUAUGUAUAUUAAGGUCUCAAUUACGUCCUAGCUAUUAGACAAAUCAAAACAUCCCUUACCGAUUGAAUUCUUGAGAAGGAUAUUGCCAUUGUCAACUUCAAACGAGCAUAUCUUACAUUCUACAAAUAUUUUUUGAGAUAGUGACUCACCAACAGAUAUAUAAUUGAAUUAUAUUUCUAAUGAUAGAAAUUUUUUCCAAAUCCGAUAUCAGAGUAAGAAGUUAUAGCCAUUUUACAGUAAGUUGUCCGAACUGCCAAAGUGCGACGAGAAGGCCAAUGGACCAUCGUGCCAGCGACUAACUGUCGCCCAAACCAUUACAACUGAGGUAGUAAUCCUUUUUUCUAGCCAUAAAGUGACGGUUUGAGGGACGUUUAGUCCCCAGGGUGAUGGUUCAUCCCCCAAACCGUCCCGCACCUCCGUUUAGGGAUUUAAAGUCAUUUUUAAAGGGAUUUUUGGGUCUUUUUCCACCCUUUUUAACACCUAAUUACUCAAAUCAAAGAACAUAACACCAUAUUCAUCCAUAACAUCAAAAUUAGGGUUUAUUUCAAUAUCAAUCCCCAAGAACAAGAUUCAUACCCUUCUUCAAGGAAACUCAAGAAUCAAAACGUCACCAUUCAAGAACCUUCAAGAAAAGUUAAUCUCCUUCAAGAUUCAAACUUUUGAGGUAUGUGAGAUGUUCAUCCAUGGGUCCUUUUCACCCAUGGAGUCCAAAAACCCAAUUUCAAAUUCAAGGUUAUGAUUUUUACAUGAUUAUUAUGAUCUUAAUCAUGAAUUCCCAUGAACUUUGAUUCUAUACCAUGUUUACACGUAUUUCUUAUUGUUAUUAAAUCCCAUAUGUUUGAAUGGUGUUAUUUGUUGAUUUAAGACAUAAUUAGUGACCUUAUUGUUGAAAUCAUGCUAUUACUACAAGCUUUAAAACUAAUCUCAUGCUUGUCUUUAACCAUGCAUUGCAAGUGCUUGAUAAAAUGCCAACAAACACGAGUUUUGAAUAAAUGCUUUCAUAUCAUGUCCUCAAAGUUUUAGUAUGAUCUUUCUAUUAUUGUUAUCGAGUCCUAGGGGUUUGAAUACCCAAAAUUUAGCUGCUUACCUAGUUUUUAGUAUUGAUGUGUGACCUAAUGCUUACACAUUUGAGGCUUUUGACUAAAAAUAAUUACAAAGUCUUAAUCAACUUUUGUCGUUUUUGAUUGUUUUAUCUUUGAUUUUGCAGUAGAAUCUAUGAUGCUAGAGAACCAACAAGGAUGGAAGCCAAAGAGUGAAAUCUGAAGUAAAAAGAAAAAAAGUAGGACUGACGACAUUCCUGAUAAAUCGUCACCCCUGUGAUAAGUUAUCAGCUUCAUCAUCAGCCUUAGAUAGAGAAUGGACCUCAGCUGAAAUUUGUGAUGAUAUUUUAUGAUAAGCCAUUAAGGAGUUGAUAGGUCAUCAAAAUUGUCGUCAGUCUAAGGAAGAACAUGGGAGCUGAGGUAGACAAAUGACGACAUUUGUGAUAAGUCGUCAAAGAUCUGAUAGGACAUCACAGUUCUUCGUCAGCUUAAGGCAACGAAUGUCGAAAUCAAAGAGGAGCUGACGACAUUUGUGAUAAGUCGUCAUCUUCUUAAUAAGGCAUCACAAAUGGCGUCACCUAUCCGAGAAAUUGUUGCACUCUAUGAUUUUGUUUCCAUGAUUAGGGUGAACUAUUUAAAGCAUUGUUUAGGGUUUUCUAAGGAGUGCUGAACAUCUUUUGGGAGACACAUAUUUUUUGUUACUUUUCUCUCUAGUUUCUUGGCUUGAAAACAAUUAACUUUGAAGAGAUUUCCAUCAAUACAUUGGGGAUUCCUAUUGUGAUCUAAUCUGAGAAUCACUAGUUAUUAUUCAUCUUGUGGUAAGUUUAUCUUUCAAAUUAUGAAUUCAUCUAGUUGUUCCAAUCAUUACAUCAUGAGUGGCUAAACCCCUCUAACCCGAAUUAUGGGAUCUAUGGGUUAUGUUUUGAUAGGAUGCUAAGUGUUUAAGAUUCAAAAGAUAAUAGGAAUCCUUGAUAAUUCUAAGAUUUUAAUCAUUGUCUAUUGGUUGCAAACAAUAGAUAUCUCCUGCUUUGAUUUUUUUGAGAUAAGAAAUCAAAUACAGUAGGAAGUGAAUUAUUGAUAGGGAAUUGGAAGCACUAAAAACUUUCAUUUAAUAAUUGACGUUGUAACAAGGUUGAUUAACCUGAGGUAAAUUCCGGUCAGUGAAUAUAAAUUUCCUAAGUCCUAGAGGAUUAGGUAAUUAAAUGCUUAAGUAGGUCGAGAGUUAUUUAGGCAUAACUUUGAUAAAGAUAAUCCAUUGUCCUAUUGACUGUGAGAAUCUUGAAUCACUAAUAGCAUCUGUCAAGUACCAAAACCCAUAGUGAACAUAAUUCUGGUUUUCCAUAAAAUCUUGAUUACAAACACUGAAGCUAAAGUGACUAAUAAUUAUUUGUUAAACUCAAAACCCCCCAUUUCGGGAAACAUCCAACUAUCCGUUGAUUAACUCGCAAAUGACUUAAAUUCACACCAUAUUCCUUGUGGGAUUUGACCCCAACCUAGAUGGGUUAUAUAUUGACAACGAUCGCUAACAUUCUUAUUAGAGAGGUGUAGUUUGAGUGUUAUCAAGUAUCUACAGAAUGGUUUUAGAAUAGUUAGGAGUAUUCUUAGUUCGAUUAUUUAUUACAUCAGUUAAACAUAGUUCGAUCUAAUAGUCAGUGUCAUUCAGUUAGAAGUAACACUUAGCACUGAGUGAGCGUAGGGAUGGUGUCUCCCCCAUCAGUUAGGCAUAAGGUACUAGUAGCAGUCCCUAGGUUCCAUACCUACGGUGACACCGUAGAUUUUGAGAGGUCCCCCAUCAGUUAAGCAUGACACCCUCGUCCUUCAGGUUUUUAGAUUAGUGGAUCCACACAUCCAGUGUUAGUAUCCAUGGCACGAUGCUGAUACCUUUCUAACUGGGGUUACAGGUUUAACCCUGAUAGUAUAUCAGGCAUAUCGGUUAUAGCUAGCUCCCACAGUUUCAGUCCAAUAUUCAGCUCAGUAAUUUAGUUUUGGUUUUCCUUGACCAUAGCAUACAGAUAUUAGUUACUCAUUUAUCAGUACUCACUAUUUUAUUUUUCAGCCUAUAUUCAGAAUAUGUUUUAUGCUUGGUCAUGCAUCCAUCAGUAUUUAUAGAUUUCACACAUAAUCAGCAUUUAUAGAUUUUAUGCAUUCUAUUUAGUACCCUUGCAAUUCAUUCAGUCAAUUAUUACUUAUGCAUAUAAAACCAUCCAUAUUAGCCUAACCCGAUUUAUCAUACCAGAACAUUCAAAGUACUGAUUGCAUACUCAUUUCUUGUGCUAUAAUAUCUCAUAUCAUAGGUUCGGAUGCUCGGGUUCCUGACCGUACUUAGACAGAUCAGCCUAUCAAUAGCAGUCAACAGUGGUGAGUCCUCAUCCUUCGAGGAUGAGUUAUUUUAUAUUUAGUAUGUUAGUAGUUCAAUUACUCAGUUAGUCAGAGUUAGUUAGGGGCUUGUCCCAUCAACUCCACAGUCAGUCCGUUUAGAGGCAUUCAAACUAGUAUAGAUAGUUGGUUAGUUUUUUUCAGUUGUUAUUGUCAGAUGUUUAUCAGUAUUACCAUUUUGUUCUCAGACGUUUGAAACUAUGAUUUAGUAUUAAUUUUAGUUGCUCAAACCUUAUGGUUUUUCAUUUAUUCUUCCACAUAUGUUAUUAUUUUUGUCAGUGCUCACAACAGGUACCAGCUCAGGGGUUAGCUUGUGGUCAUUUAUGAUUGCAAGCACCGUGUGGUGCCCAGGGUGUACUCUCAGGGCAUUACAAACUUGGUAUCAGAGCUUAAGGUUUUAAAGUGUCCGAGGGAUUCUAAAAGUUGCAUUGAGUAGAGUCUUCUGCAUGGGCAUGAAUCACGCCACACUUACGGAUAGGAGGCUAUAAGACGUUUUAGAAAAGUUUACCUUUUUCAGUGUUCAUAACAUGCUAAUAAUCAUGAGCUUAAGUUGAAAUCUCUAUAUAAUCCAAUAUUUUUUCUAUUUACAGUGAAAAUACCUCUCAAAAAGACUAAUGGAAGGAGAAACAGAAAUCAUUUAGCACCUCCACCCAUUCAGGAAGAUCCCCUGAAUGAGCAUAUUUCAUAUGCCGAGUUUAGAGCUUCAUUUACUACUCUAACCAACUCUAUAGCAGCUCAAAAUAUUCGUCUAGCUGCUGUCCCAGCCAACCUUGUGGCUAAUACUACUGCAUCUAGGAUUUGGGACUUCACCCGAAUGAAUCCUCCAUUCUUUUUAGGAUCCAAGUUUGAAGAGGAUCCACAGGAAUUCUUUGACAUGGUUUAGAAGGUAAUAGAUAUUAUGGGAGUGACUUCUAGUUAGAGUGUUGAAUUGGCUGCCUACCAGCUGCAGAAUGUAGCUCAUACGUGGUUUAAGCAAUGGAGAAGGGAUAGAGGCAUAGAUGCAGGGCCUAUAAAGUGGAGGAGUUAGCUACAGCCUUCUUAGAUAGAUUUUUCCCUUUAGAGAUGAGAGAAUCUAACGUAAUAGAGUUUAUUAAUUUAAAGUAGGGAAACAUGAGUGUGAAAGAGUAUUCCCUUAAGUUUACUCAGCUAAACGGGUAUGCUACUCAUGUGGUGGCUGAUAAUAGGUCUAGGAUAAGCAAGUUCAUGUCUGUUGUAUCUAAUAGCAUGGUCAAGAAGUGUAGGAUCGUAAUAUUGAUCAAAGAGAUGGACUUAUCUAGGUUAGUGGUGCAUGCUCAACAGAUUGAAAAGGGGAAGGCUAAGAAGAGAGAGAGAGAGAGGAUAAGAAGGCUAGAAUAGGUAGCUUUAAUUUUACUCAGCUGAGGUUAAAAGGUGGUAAUCAUCCUUAGUUCCACCAGAAAUCUUCAGUUCCAGCUCCAUUCUCAGUUAGUGCACCUAUGCCAAAUUUCAAAAAUGACAACCAAGAUAGGGCACCAGGCUCUAAGUCCCAAGGCAGUGUAAGCAAUAUCUGCAUUAAUCCUCUCUGCCAGAAGUGUGGAAGAAAUUAUCAAAGUGUGUCCAGGGCUGGAAGCAAUGUGUGUUUUAGAUGUGGAAAGUCGGGCCACAAGUUGAGGAAAUAUCCGACAGGUAUGUGGAAAGGUAGGAAUGAUCAUCAACAGGGUCAGUCUAACUCUUCAGCAGCAUCUACAAGUCGUUCAACUCAUCAGGGCACCACUUCAAGUGCCACUACUGGGCAGCGCCCAAAUAGACUUUAUGCACUUCAGUCCCGACAAGAUCAGGAAAGUUCUCCUAAUGUGGUCACUAGUACGUUACAGGCCUUUCAUUUACAUAUAUAGGCUUUAUUAGAUCCUAAAGAUUCUCUUUCUUUUGUAACCCCUUAUAUAGCCAUCACCUUUAGAGUUAGUCCCAAAAUCUUAGUAGAGCCUUUCUCGGUGUCUACUCUUGUGGAUAAGUCUACCAUAGCCCAGUGGGUAUACAGGAACUGGCCGAUUACAGUGUCUCAGAAAGUUACUUUAGUAAACCUUGUAGAGUUAGAGAUGAUGGAUUUUGAUGUCAUUCUUAACAUGGAUUGGCUCCAUUAAUGCUAUGCUUUAGUUGAUUGUAGAAACAGAGUUGUCCAUUUUUAGUUUCCAAAUAAACCAGUCCUUGAAUGGAGAGGUAGCACUGCAGCACUUAGGGGUCAGCUUGUUUCAUACCUUCGAGCAAGAAAAAUGAUAUCUAAGGGGUGUAUUUAUCAUUUUGUUCAAGUCAAAGACUCUAAUUUAGAUACUUCUAACCUUGAGUCAAUUUUUGUAGUAAGGGAAUUUCCAGAUGUGUUUCCUGAAGAUCUUCUCAGAGUUUCUCCUAAAAGGAAAAUUGACUUUGGAAUAGACUUUCUUCCAGAUAUCCAGCCUAUCUCUAUUUUGCCAUAUAGAAUGGCUCUAGCCAAACUCAAAGAGUUGAAAGAACAAUUAAAAGACCUCUUUGAUAAGGGAUUCAUUAGGCCCAGCAUUUCCCCGUGGGGCGCACCAGUUCUUUUCGUGCAUAAGAAAGAUGGUUCCCUUAGGAUGUGUAUUGAUUACUAUCAGUUGAAUAAAGUCACCAUCAAGAAAAAAUAUCCACUCCCCAAAAUUGAUGACUUGUUCGACUAACUUUAGGGUGCCAGUUAUUUCUCCAAGAUAGACCUCAGAUCUAGCUAUCAUCAGCUUAGAGUUCGGGAAUGUGACAUUCUGAAAAUAUCUUUCAAAACUCAGUAUGGUCACUUUGAGUUUCUAGUCAUGUCCUUUGGUCUCACAAAUGCCCCAGCAGCCUUUAUGGACUUGAUGAACCGAGUGUUCAAGCAUACUUGGACAUGUUCAUCAUAGUCUUUAUUAAUGAUAUUCUUGUCUACUCUCACAAUGAAAAUGAUCAUACAGACCACCUCAAAACUCUAUUGUAGACUCUUAAAGCUCAUCAGUUGUUUACCAAAUUCAGUAAGUGUGAGUUUUGGCUAAGGUCAGUAGCUUUUCUUGGCCAUAUUAUUUUCGAUGAUGGAAUUAGAAUUAACCCUAAAAAGACUAAAUCUGUUAGAAACUAGCCCAGACCCAUCUCACCAUCAAAUAUCAGGAGUUUCUUAAGUCUAGUCAGAUAUUACCGAUGUUUUAUUGAAGGCUUUUCAUCUAUUCCAUACCCCAUGUCUAGAUUAACUCAAAAUAAAGUUAAGUUUCAGUGUCAGAUUCUUGUGAGAAGAGUUUUCAAGAGUUGAAGACUCGACUCACCACAGCCCCAGUUUUGGCCUUGUUGGAUGGUUUGGAUGAGUUUGUUGUGUAUUGUAAUGCUUCUAGAGUUGGAUUGGGUUAUGUUUUGAUACAGAGAGGAAAUUUUAUAGCUUAUGCUUCUAGGCAGCUUAAACCUCAUGAAAAGAAUUACCCCACCCAUGAUCUUGAGUUAGCAGCUAUUGCGUUUGCCUUAAAGAUUUGAAAACACUAUUUGUGUGGGGUACAUAUUGAUGUGUUCAUAGAUCACAAAAUCUUGCAGUAUGUAUUUUUGCUGAAGGAUUUGAAUUUAUGUCAAAGGAGAUGGUUAGAAUUAUUAAAAGAUUAUGAUAUGAGUGUUUUGUACCACCCGGGUAAGGCCAAUAUAGUGGUAGAUGCCCUAAGUAGAUUGUCUAUGGGUAUUGUUGCUCAUAUUGAGGAUGACAAAAAGAAGUUAGUUAGGAAAUUUCAUCAGCUUGCCAGAUUAGGUGUUCAUUUGGUUGAUUUAGCUGAGGGUAGUGUAUGGGUUCAAAAUAGUUCGAAAUCCUCUUUAGUUGCUGAAGUGAAAGAAAAACAAUAUAGGGAUCCAAGCCUGGUUAAGUUAAAGGAGUCAGUAGGAGAUUAGAAAGUAGAGGUUUUCUAUCAAGGGGGAGAUGGUAUAUUGCAUUGUUACGGUAGACUGUGUGUGCUAUGGGUAGAUGAUUUGAGACAUCGAAUUCUUGCAGAAGCAUAUAGUUCCCAUAACUCUAUUUAUCCAGGGGCUAUGAAGAUGUACCGCGAUCUGGGGGAAAUCUAUUGGUAGAGUGGUAUGAAGAGGGAUAUUGCAGAGUUUGUGAUAAAGUUCUCCACUUGUCAAUAGGUUAAGAUUGAACAUCAAAAGCCAAGUGGGUCUAUGCAAGAGUUCAGUAUUCCCACUUGGAAGUAGGAGAAAGUGCACAUGGAUUUUGUGACAGGUUUGCCUCGUAUCCAUCGUCAGGAUGAUUCAAUUUGGGUCAUUGUGGAUAGAAUGACCAAAUUAGCCCAUUUCUUAUCAGUCCAUACUUCUUACUGUAUUAGGGAGUUGGUUAGCUUGUACGAUGUUCCGUUAUCUAUCAUCUCAAUCAGAGGUACUCAGUUUACCUCUCACUUUUGGAAAUCUUUCCAGAAGGGUCUUGGUACCCAAUUUCAACUCAGUACAGCCUUUCACCCUCAGACAGAAGUCCAAGCAUAGAGGACCGUUCAAAUCUUUGAGGAUAUGUUGAGAGCGUGUGUAGUUAAUUUUAAGGGUAGUUGGGAUGAUCACUUACCUUUGAUUAAGUUCGCAUAUAAUAACAGCUAUUAUUCCAGUAUUUAGAUGGCUUAAUUUGAGGCUCUAUAUAGAAGGAUAUGUAGAUCUCCAGUUGGUUGGUUUGAGGUAGGUGAGAUAGCUUUGCAAGGGCCUGACUUGGUGUUCGAUGCUUUAGAAAAAGUUCAAUUGAUCAAGGAGAGGAUUAGGACAGUCCAAAGAUGACAGAAAUCAUACACGGAUGUGAGGAGAAAGGAUCUUGAGUUUGAGAUUGGUGAUUUUGUAUAUCUAGUGAUCUCUCUUAUGAAAGGGGUAAAGAAGUUUGGUAAGAAGGGGAAGCUUAGUCCCUGAUAUGUUGACCCUUACAGAAUUUUAAGCCAUUUCGGAAAGGUGGCUUAUGAUCUUGAGUUGCCUGCAGACUUAACAUCAGUGCACCCAGUGUUCCAUAUCUCAUUAUUGAAGAAGUUUAUUUGUGAUCCAUCUAUAGUUGUCCCUUUAGAAACUAUAGAUGAUCAGAAUAUCCAUUCUUAUGAAGAAGUUCCAUUCGAGAUCCUUGAUCGCCAGAUUUGUAGACUAAGGAAUAAAGAAGUUCCCUUGGUCAAGGUUCUUUGGUGGAACCAGUCUAUUGAGGGAGCCACUUGGGAAGCAGAAGUAGAAAUGUGUACCAAGUACUCUCAUCUCUUCUCCACGAACGUACACUCAGCUUAAGGAAAUAAUUUUCUCUAGCUUUUAUCUUUUCCAUACUCAGUUCUCGCUGCAUACUGUUCUAAUGUCAUCAUACAUUCACGAAACCAGUUCAGUCAUGUGUCAUAAUUCACGCUCAUCCAUGUAAUCAUAUUUCAUUAUGUAUAUUCAGCAUGAAACCUUAAUUCCUCAGUGUUCUCAGCUUAACCAACCACAUUUGAGGAUGAAUGUUCCCAAGGAAGAGAUAUUGUAAUACCCCAAGAAUCCCAACCGAUAGUAGAACCAUGCUUCAAGCUCAUGAGAAAUAAAUUUUAGUGAUUUUUUAGUUUUAUGAUUGAGUUUUAUAUUUAUUAAGGUCUUAAGUACGUCCUAGCUAUUAGACGAAUCAAAACAUCCCUUACCGAUUGAAUUCUUGAGAAGGAUAUUGUCAUAGUCAACUUCAAACGAGUAUAUCUUCCAUUCUACAAAGAUUUUUUGAGCUCAUGACCCACCAACAAAUAGAUAAUUGAAUUAUAUUCCCAACUAUAUCAAUUUCUCCCAAUCCGAUAUUGGGGUAAAAAGUUAUGGCCAUUUUACAGCGAGUUAUCCGAACUGCCAAAGUGCAAUGUGAAGCCCGACGGGCGCCAGCGACGAACCGUCGCCCAAACCAUUGCAACUAAGGCAGUAAGCCCAUUUUAUGGCCAUAAACUAAUGGUUUGAGGGAUGGUCAGUCCCCAGGGUGAUGGUUCGCCACCCAAACCGUCCUGCACCUCCAUUUUUAAAGGGAUUUUUGGGUCUUUUUCCACCCUUUUUAACACCUAAUUACAUCAAAUCAAAGCACAUAACUCCAUAUUCAUCUAUAACAUCAAAAUUAGGGUUUCUUUAAAGAUCAAUCCCCAAGAACAAGAUUCACACCCUUCUUCAAGAAAACUCAAGAAUUAAAACGUCAUCAUUCAAGAACCUUCAAGAAAAGUUAAUCUCCUUUAAGAUUCAAGCUUUUGAGGUAUGUUAGAUGUUCAUCCAUGGGUCCUUUUCACCCAUGGAGUCCAAGAACCCAAUUUCAAAUUCAAGGUUAUGAUUUUUACAUGAUUAUUAUGAUCUUAACCAUGAAUUCCCAUGAACUUCGAUUAUAUACCAUGUUUACACAUAUUUCUUAAUGUUAUUAAACCCCAUAUGUUUGAACGGUGUUGUUUGUUAAUUUAAGACAUAAUUGGUGACCUUAUUAUUGAAAUCAUACUAUUACUACAAGCUUUAAAAUGACUCCCAUUCUUUUCUUCAACCAUGCAUUGCAAGUGCUUGAUGAAAUGCCAACAAACAUAAGUUUUGAAUAAAUGCUUGAAUAUCAUGUCCUCACAGUUUUAGUAUGAUCUUCCUACUAUUGUUAUUGAGCCCUGGGGGUUUGAAUACCCAUUUAUCAGUACUCAAUAUAUUAGUUUUUAGACUUUAUUCAGAAUAUGUUUUAUGUUUGGUCAUGCAUCCAUCAGUUUCUACAAAUUUCACGCAUUCUUAGCAUUUACAGAUUUCAUGCAUUCUAUUCAGUACCUCUUGCUAUUCAUUCAGUCAAUUAUUACUUAUGCACUUGAAAUCAUGCAUAUUAGUCUAACCCUAUUUAGCAUACCAAUACAUUUAAAGUACUAAUCGUAUGCUUAUUUUUUGCACUAUGAUGUCUCAUAUCAUAGGUUUGGACGCUUAGGUUCCUGAUCGUACUUAGAUAGAUCAACCUAUCAGCAGCAGUCAAUAGUGAUGAGUCCUCAUCCUUUGAGGAUGAGUUAUCUUAUAUUUAGUAUGUUAGUAGUUCAGUUAUCCAGUCAGUCAGAGUUAGUUGGGGGCUUGUCCCAUCAACUCCACAGUCAGUCAGUUUAGAGGCUUUCAGACUAGUACAGACAUUUGGUUAGUUUUUUAGUUGUUAUUGUCAGUUGUUUAUUAGUAUUACCAUCUUGUUCUUAGACGUUUGAAACUAUGAUUCAAUAUUAAUUUCAGUUGCUAAAACCUUAUGGCUUUUCAGUUAUUCUUUCACAUAUGCUAUUAUUUUAUUCAUUCUCACAGCAGGUACCAGUACAGGGUUAGCUUAUGGUCACUUAUAACUGCGAGCACCGUGUGGCACCCAGGGUGUACUCUCGGGGUGUUACAAUUAAGUUCUGCAACCUUGGUCUAGAGCUUUGCAUUUUCUGUUGUAUGUUCCUCGGAAGAACCUGGUCCCUUUGAGGAUAACUUCUGAUUCUGAAACUUUAAGUGCACUAUUGCAGCAUGCUUAGUGGCUAACUUAAUCCUCAUCUCCUCCAUUUCCUUACUUUAAUUUUCCUUAGCUGCCAGUAGCUCUGACACUUGGGACACAGUUCCCAUUUUUCCUUCUAUGCAUUUAUUUUCCACCAAUAUUGUCAAACUACACUUUUGUUUGACUGUUCCAGGAGUCCAUUUAGUCCCAACCACUCCAAAGUGAUAAAACACCUUGUUCAAGAGGUACCCAUAAGGCAUUAUAUGUCUUUAUUCCUUCUCAUGGAUUACCUUAUUCAUGUGCUCUAUCACAAGAGCAGCCAAACUUAUCAGCUCAAAUUUGCUCAGACACUCUAUCAAAAAUAGAUACACAGCAGAGGCUAUAGUCCUCUUCUCUGACCUUGGCAGAAUAACCUUGUUGAAAAAUUCAAUCACUAGCUAAAACUCACUUAUGAAAAAACGUCUUUAUCACCCUAGAUAUUGAUGCCCCUCCUACAUUUGAGGCAUUAAUCAUUAACUCAAACGAGGGACAUUGUUUCACAACAGUCCUCACACCCAUAGGCACAUCCAGAAUUUUUCCCAAUGCCUCUUCAUCCAGUUUUAUUUCCUUUCCUUGCACCUGGGAAGUCAGGUUUAACCCAACAUCUAAUAAGUUUAUAGUAUAAUAGAAUUCUCUUGCUUUAUUUUCAAAAACCAUGGGACAUAGUUCCUUCAGGAGGUGUAACCAUCCUUGGUGCCUUAAUACUCCACCAACUCUACCAUUCUAGGUUUCUCAUAAAUCCUGGGAUUAAACACUACUAGAAAAUACUUUCUGAGUUUUCAAAAUUUCAUUCCUUUACUCUCUAGAACCUUUCUUCUUUUUUUCCUCUUUUCUCCUUCUUUUGAAAUCAGUGCUUGAUUCUUUUUCAAUAGUUUUUCUCUUUUUGCGACCAAGUCCAUUAGAGACUUUCUUCUUCUUAACAACAAUGUGUUUCUAUUUCAUUCCUACAGGGCUACCAGACUUUGAACGAGGGGACCUAGUCCUUCCUGCAACAUGAAUUUCUUUUCUUUAUUUCUCAAUUGCAACAGAAACAUCAGGAUCAUUGUCCUUACCCUCUUUAAUCUCUACAACUUCAAUAUUCUCUUCCUCUACUAUAGUAGUUUUCUUCAGUCUUCUUCUCUUGGUGGUAGAAGACUUGUUAGCCUUCAUUGCAUCCACUAACAACUUUUUUUCAGAUGCCCUAGUAUAAUAUGAUCUAGAAACCUUUAAACCAGUGUCAACCACUUUUUUCUUACCUUUGCUUCCCUUUUAUUUCUGCACAUACCACCUCAGAGGUAGUUUAUCCUCAUCUGCCUUAUCCUCCUCAUUUAGAGGUAACAUAAAUUCUCCAUCUGUUGUAAUAUAAAACUUUUCACCUACUGUUUUCUAUUCAACACCAAAGGAUCUCUGCUUAGGAUCAUUUUCAAGCAAAAGUAAGUUUUCAGCUACCCAAUUCAUACUACUAGAAAGAUCAGACCUCUUUACUACUAUUUUUUCAUCACAGAGUUGGGCAAAAAUAAGGUUUGACUCUGAGGGAGUAGGAGAACUAGGUACUUGUAGGGUUUUUGAGAGUUCUAUUUUUUCUGGUUCUUUAGAAGAAAUAGAUAUUUGAGAGUCUUCAGGUAAUUUUGAUACUUUUGAGAAAGGAGGAACUUUGGAUUGAGGAAUUUCUUAUUCAAUUGGUGAACCAAAACCUUGAUUUAGAUCCUCUACCAUGGUUGACUUAACAUAAAUUUUGAUAGUUGAGGAAUUUUCAAUGGAGACAGACUCAUUUAGGGGUUCUGGAAUUUCUGAAGAGGAUUCAGUGGGUAGAGUUAACACAAGUUCUUUUUAAGGACUUAAGGAUAUGUCUUCUAUGGUUUUGGGUGUUAAAGGAUCAGAAUGUUUGAUUUUGGGUUUUUUAGACUAACUAUCUAGGGUUUUAUCAAAUUCUGAAUCUCUAAUAAGACAUGAGGAGGUGGGAAUAUCUACCAUUUAGAGUUUUCAUAAGGAAGAGAAUAAACACACUUUGUUUUUUAGAGGUUGAAUGAGUGAGGAAGUUGAUUAGUGAGUUAAUUUUGGAAGAGAAUAAAAAGGAAUGAAUUUGGUUUUGACUUUAAGUGAAGUGACCAUUGUCAUUAAAAGGUGCCUUUUUGAAUAAAAUGGCAUGCCCGAUUCUAAUAGGUGUGACUCUUCACCUUGCUAAGGAAUUGACAGUUUUUUACAAAGAAGAAAAGGCACAUGGAUUUUGAGAUAGAAUCUUAUAAUUUUUAAAGCACACUAUUUUGGUACUAACCUCAGAGAUGGGACCAGGUCCCUCUCUUUCUUAAAAAAAUCCUCAAAUUUGUGCAAGUCACAUAUAUCCUCUUGUAAAGAUGUUUCCAUGAGUGUAUACCUGUAAAGGUAUGGUACUGAGUUAGACCAAUAUGUACCUACCUGACCAAGGAUACCUAUCUCCUGAUCAUUGCCAAUUUUAGGGAGAAAAACUGAUUCAUCUAGUAGAUUAGGUUAUUUUGAUCAACCCCAGCCUCUACCUGUUCUUCAUAUUUUUGGCUCAAUUUUGGACAAGAAUGUUGAAAAUUCCAUGACACUUGUGUCUUGAGCUCUUCUUUGGACUCUAGAUUCAAAAGGUGUAGUCAGAUUCUCAAGUGGAUGAGAAAAUUUAUGCCUCCAGUUUGACAUUUUGAGAUGAGUUCCACUAGGACCAGGGCCCUAAAAAUUUUGCCUAGACCAUUUUUGUUGUUCUUCUACUGGCGCUGGGUUCUGUGACUGUUCUCUUGGAUCACCAUCACUUUCAUCAUUCUUAUCUACAGCAUUUAGUCCAUGACCAUUAUCUUCAGCAAUGUUUUCCCUUUGAACAGGAAUGAGUUCUUCUAUUUCUGAAUCUUCACCAUCACCUGGAUUCAUUAGCUUUCCUGAAUCAUCAAAGACAACAUGCAUACUUUAUUCAACACAUAGAGUUAUUUUGUUGAAAACUAUGUAUGCUUUUCUUGUUGAAGAAUAUCCCACAAAUACUAUUUCAUCACUUUUAAAGCCAAACAUUUCAAGAUCAUUGUUCCCAUAUUUAGAACAAAGCAUUUUCACCCAAAAGGUCUAAACUAGUCAAGAUUAUCCUUUCUAUUGAACAAAAUCUCAUAAGGGGACUUGUUCAAGAGAGAUCUAAUCAAGCACCUAUUUGUCACGUAGCAAGUAGUAUUUACAGCUUUGGCCCAAAAGUUCUUCUGAAUUCCACACUUAAUCGGCAUAGUCAUAACAUAACAAUCUCUAUUAGGGUUCUGUUCUUUCUUUCAACAACUCCAUUUUACCGAGGAGUCCUUGGGGUAUACAAGUUAUGACUGAUUUCAUUUUAGCACAGAAUCCUAUUAACUUUGGAUUUCUUAACUUAGUUCCAUGAUCAUAUCUGAAUUCAGCAAUCUUGCAAUUCAGUUUCAUUUGAAUUUGCUUGGCAAAAGUAAUAAGAACUUCAUAGGUUUCAUCCUUGGUUCUCAAGAACAUUGUCCAAGUGAACCUGGGGUAGUCAUCUACAAUUACAAACACAUACUUCUUUCCUUCUCUACUUUGGACUUUAACAGGUCCACAUAGAUCCAUAUGCAGCAUCUCAAGGGGUUGAGAAGUACUCACUUGCUUCUUCAUCUUAAAGGAAGACCUAGUUUGUUUUCCCUUUACACAAGCAUUACAAACCUUGUUGUUUGGAAAUUUUAACUUUGGUAUGCCACGGACCAGGUCCUUUGAAAUCAACUUUUUUAGCAAAGAAGAACUUACUUGUCCCAGCCUUCGGUGCCAUAAAUCAACAUCUUCACUUUGAACACUUCAAAAAAUUAAUUCCCCAUUAGCCACAAACUCCAACUCAACCAUAUACAUAUUUUUAUCCUCUUGGAUUUGAGAAUAACUCUCCCAGACUUCAAUCUUACAUAAUAAAUCCAUUAGCUGAGAAUUUGACCUCAUUACCUUUGUCACAAAUUUGAAAAACACUUAGAAAAUUGUACUUGAGGCUAUUCAUAUAGUACACAUCUUCUAUUGCAUGAUCAAAUAAUUUUCCAAUCUUUCCCACACCAUGAAUAUAGCUUUUUUUACUAUUUCCAAAAAAAAGACACCUCUACCUUGAAGUGUCUUGAGAGAAAGAAAGGAAUCAGUACUCCCUGUCAUAUGAUUUGAACAUCUACUAUCCAUGAGCCAGUUCUUAUUGCAUUCCCCUCCUCCCACCUACAAACAUAGUCAUUCAUUAGAUUUGGGAACUCCCUUGAGUUUGAAUUCCCAAUAGGAAGACAAAGGUGUGAUCAAAUAUUUCUUGGACCAUUUAGGUAGAGAGUUCUUCUUCAUAUUUUUCAAGGGCAUGAAACCCUUAGGAUAAUAAUUCUCCUGCUGGAUGUAUUUAGUACUGGUCAUUUUAGCUCUAAGCCAAUACUGAUAGUUUUCUUUCAAGUGUCCAUCUCUUCACAAUGAGUUCAUAAAGAUUUGUGGACCCUAUUUUUAAUACCGUGAACAACUUUCCCAAAGACCCAAGUGAUUGGGUUUUAUAAUGAUAUCCAAGCCCUUUACUAUUAUUGACACUCUGAUCAGUUAAAUUAGAAAGAAUUUGUGAGGAUGUGGUCCAUUUUAGUGAUUUGUUAAGUUUUUCCCUUAGACGGACCAGGUCCCUUUCUAAUUCUUCAUUCUUAUAAAGUGCAGUCAUAAGAUUCUUUUGAGAAUCCCUCAACUUUUCUUCAAGCUCAAUUUGAAGCCUUGAAGCUUGUUUUUCCCUUUACCAUCAGAAUCAUUUACUUUUUCUGAUUGACUCAUUAAAUUCAGAUUUUUAGAUUUCAACUUUGUGAACAAUUCUUCUAUUUCAGAUAUCUGAAGAGUUAAAGCAAUCAAUUCAAUCUCUUGAUUUUCUACCUUCUCUUCUAGAGCAUAUUUCUUAGAAGUCAGCUCACACACAGAGUCAAUCAACACAUUUGCAAGUUUAUUUAACUUUUUAGUAGAGUAGUUAUCUAAGUUUUCCUUAAUGUUAGAGAGAGUUAACUCAUUUUCUUCUUCAUCUUCAGUGUUCGCCAUAAGAGAAAAUAAGGAAUCAUAGAUAACCUCACUAUCUUUCACAACUAGCAUCGACACAUCAGCAGUCUUUUCAGCUUCAUCAGAUUCACUAGAGGAAUCUCCCCAGAUAGUUAAGGCCCUAACCCAGACCUGAGACCGCCCACAAUAUCCAACCAUAACCACUCUCUACCCUAUGUCGGAUGAAUUUUGAACAUAUAACAAGAUAGAACAAUUAUAAUUGAAAGGAAUUUAAUAAAGUCCAAAACCAUAACCAUCCAAACAUCCAACCAAGCAUCCAACCGGUGUCAGCCCAAAUACAAAUACCAAUGCCAAGGUUAACACCAAUACCGACACCACGCAUGCCCAUAGUAGUCACACAAAGCCUCUAACAGAAAUCCAAGAACAUCUAGUCAGGACAUGCCCCCAACCAUAGCCAAAAUCAAAGUCCAAGAAAUAAAUAAAAAUAUGGAAAGAGGUUCAUGGCAUAGAAUGGAGUCUUCUGGAGUAUGGAAUCUCACCACUUCAGUCCAACACAGAGUUGUUCCCAAAUCCAAGAUCACUGAGCAGGAAGAGGAGUAUGACCGGUUCCUGCAUCGCGUCGGGAUACAGCACCCAAAGAUGGGUUAGUGGGUGAACACUAGUAUGUACGCAAGAAUAAAGAUAAAAUAAUGCCAUUAUUCAAAUCCAAAGUAAAUAACUAUAUGCAACCACAUACAUGCAUAUAUAUAUAUAUCAUGCCGAGAAAUAAAAUCGGGUUUAGCAUGCAUUUAAAACCUUUAACUUGGGAUUGUGUGGCUCUGCCAUCCUAAAUCUACCCAUGGGCUAUAUGGGUUCAACUCACCCUGCUGAAAAGGCCCCGGUGCAUGUUAGCCAACGAGCCAGAGAAAAACCUGAGAUGACUAGUACAUCCAAAAUACAAGUGUGACAAAAUACACACGAUCACCAAGACCAACCUCACAACGGCAAAUUUGCGCUUCCAGUUUUCAUUCCCUGGGACCACUACCUUCCACGGCUUUGCUAACAAAUUCCCCUUUAAGCCUAUAUUAAAACCAUUCACACACAACCAACCAAUUACCAAGGAGUCUCUUUUUCGGCAUUAACCAUUGGUAUCGUCAUACCAAAACUAGAGCUUGUAAGUCUAUCCAUUUAUGCCAUUCCAAAGCCAUUAAACUAAUUAGAAUCCAAGGUUUCCGUUUAAAAUAAUACCACAGCCACCAAGUCCUUUCCAAUCCAUUUAAAAUCAUUUAAACCAAUUUAGGUUCCAUUACCAUAGUAUGCAAUGCAAAGUUUUCAAUUAUAGUCAAACUAUGUGACAAAAUCAUUCUCAUAGACAUUUUAACAAACAUGUUGAGGGCUUAAGAUUUUUCCAAAACCAAAACCAUAUAUCAAUUGACCAUUCCCAUGCAACCACAUGUUCAAACCAUAAUUAUAACAUGAAAACCAUAAGAAAAACAUGGGAAAACAUUAUCCAACUAAGAACAACCAAAACCCCAACAUAUACUUCAAAAUCCAAAACAAUCCCACAAUAAUGCCAUGAAAAUCAUUCAUUCAAACAUUCUUUUAGUUGAACUAACAAUGAGGAAAGAGUAUCAUUCCUUAGACAACAAGGAAGAUGGAGAGAAACCACCCUUUAGAUCGUUAAAUAAUUGACUUAAAGAAAACCAUAGUUUUUCUUGAACCAAGAUCUUGAGAGAGAUUUGAGAGUGUUUAAAGAGUGUUUGAUUGGGAAUAAUAGGUUAAGGAAGCCUCCAAAGGUGUUUUAUGUCGUGGGGUUCAAAAGGUGUUAAGAGAGGAAAUAUCCAAAAUACCCCCAACUUUAACUAUAAAAAGGACAUAGGAAGGUACGGCUGGACCACUCAACUCGUAUCCACAUCAUAUGAGUGGUACCCUCUAAUCGUAUCUUGAUCAGAAAGUUAGACACCAAAUUCUAUCCAACAUACGACUCCUCAGAAUAACUCAUACCAUCACCAUACAACAAGUACCCUUUAAGUCAUAUCCUAAGAAGAACAUCAAGGCUAGAUAUUGGACAACAUACGGAUGGACACCAUACCCCUCGUAUCAUGAACAUAUGACUCAUCACUACCAACCCAUAACCAAAAUAGAAACUCAACCACCAAACAUUGGACACCCAACGAGUUGGAUCACCUAACCCGUACCUACACCAUACGAUUAAUAUGGUGAGUCGUAUGAUGAACAAAAAGCUUAAGACUCAAGAAAUUUGAAAGGUCCAGAACCCAGGGUGUUUUUAUUCUCCCCCACUUGGAUCAUUCAUCCUCGAAUGAUGAAACAAGGCAGUAUAAGAACAAUUAAACCCCCAAACGUCUCUACUCUUACCUUUCUGACAGAAAACAGAACACCAAGGAAUUCAACUUUUUACCUUUAACAAAGACAAUAAAAAAAGAGGUAAAGAAUCAACACAUACUGACAUACGAAUUUCUGAAGCGAAAAAUAAAAAUGGAUACUUGGUCUUCAUGUCCUCUUCAGCUUCUCAUGUAGCCUCUUCCACCUUGUGGUUCCUCCAUAGAACCAUUACCAAGGCCACAUCCUUGGUCUGCAAUCGAUGAACCUGAUGAUCCAAGAUCUCAACUAGGAUAUCCUCAUAAGAUAAGGAAUCUAAAAUACCAAUAUCUUAAUAGGCACAACCUGUGACGGAUCGCCAAUGUACCUCCACAACAUAGAGAUAUGGAAUACCAGGUGAAUGGAUCUCAAGCUAGAUGGCAACUCCAACUCAUAUCUGAUAUUUCCAACCCUUCUCAAAAUCACAUAAGGACCCACAUAUCAGGGACUAAGCUUCCCCUUUAUCCCAAACUGCAUCACUCCUUUCAUGGGAGACACCUAUAGGAACACUCUAUCUCAAACCUCAAACUCCAAGUCCCUUUGCCUCAUGUUUCCAUAAGACUUUUGAUGACUUUAGGCAGCCUUAAGCCUAUCUCGAUUCACCUUUACCUUCUUCAUAGAUUGGUGAACCAAAUCUAUCCCAAAUAUAUCCACCUCACCAAGCUCAAACCACCCAAUAAGAAACCUACACCUCCUACCAUACAAUACUUCAAAUGGAGCCAUCCUAAUGAUAGAGUGGCAGCUAUUAUUGUCGGCAAACUCUAAAGAGGCAAAUGUUCAACCAACUACCACCAAAGUUGAUCACGCAAACCCGAAGCAAAUCCUCUAACAUUUGAAUAGUCCUUUUUGCUUGUCCAUCUGACUACUGGUGAAAAAUAAAAAUAAGACUCACCUUGGUCCCCAAACCUUUCUAAAAUGACAAGCAAAAUUGAGAUAAAACUACAUACCAAAAUUAUAUAUGAUAGAAAUUGGUACCCCAUGCAACUUCACAAUCUCUUGAAGAUAAAACCUUGCAUUAUCCUCAGUCGAGAAGUUAGUCCUUACUAGUAAAAAGUGAGCUGACCUUGUCAUCCUAUCCAUGAUGACCCAAACUGAAUCAAAUUGAUUUUGAGACUAAGGGAGAUCAGUAACAAAAUCCAUGUUGAUUACUUUCCACUUCCAUUCAGGCAACUUAAUCUCUGACAUAAUCUUUUGGGCCUCAUGUGCUCAACUUUAACUUGUUGGCACACCAUGUACUUGGCCACAAAAUUAGCCAUAUCCCGCUUCAUAUUGUUCCACCAAUACAUCUCCUUGAGGUCAUAAUACAUUUUUGUCAAACCAGGAUAAACAAUAUAGUGCGGCUCAUGCGCCUCAUCCAAAAUCCUCUCUCGUAAACCAUCUACAUCGGGAACACAUAAUUUUCCUUGGUAUCACAAAGUAACAUCACCACUAAUCUUGAAGGCCAUCACUUUUUACCCACCUACAUCACCCUUAAUCCUCAUCAAGAUAGGAUAUAACAUCUACUUUUCCUUGAUUUCAGCACCAAGACACGAUCGUGCUACUUUCUGCACAAACACACUACCACUCUCGGAGUCCAAAAUAUGAACUCUAAGGUUAGCCAAAUGGUGAAUGUCUUUCACUAACUCCCAUUUCACCUUAUACACAUAAGCUAGAAUCCCCAUGGAUAACCUGCUAAGAGAAUAAGCAACCAUGUUAGCUUUACCUGGGUGGUAGUAAAGACUCAUAUAAUAAUCCUUGAGAAGUUCAAGCUAUCUCCUUUGCUUGAGGUUAAGCUCUUUUCUAGUAAACACAUAAUGCAGGCUCUUAUGAUCAGAAAAGAUAGCCACAUGUACUCCAUACAAAUAGUGACGCCAUCUUUCCAAUGCGAACGCACAACUAACAGCUCCAAGUCAUGAGUCAUAUAGUUCUUCUCAUGCACCUUUAACUGUCUAGAGGCAUAAGCUAUCACCUUUCCAUACUACAUCAAAACACAACCAAGCUCCAUAUGGGAUGCAUCAUAGAAGACCACAAACCCAUCAGUACCUUCAAGCAAACUCAAAAUCAGAGCCAAAGUUAGAUAAUCCUUCAACUUCUCAAAACUACCCUUAGAAAUAUCACACCAUAGGAACUUUACCUUCUUCUAAGUCAAUUUAGUUAAUGGGGUAGCUAUAGUCGAAUAACUCUCCACAAACCUCGUGUAGUAACCCGCUAAACCUAAGAAGCUCCAAAUGUCAUUGGAUUUAUGGGUCUAGGCCACUUCCUCACCACUGUAACUUUCUAUUAAUCCACCAUGAUCCCUUCACUAGAAAUGACAUGACCCAAAAAAGUGAUAGCCUUUAACCAGAACACACAUUUUGAGAAUUUGGCAUAUAGUUGAUGCUUCUUCAGGGUCUACAAUACAAUACAGAGGUGAUCGGAAUAAUCCACCUUACUUUUUUAGUACACCAGAAUGUCAUCUAUGAAGACAAUAAAAACAAAUUCAAAAACCAACGGAAUACCCUAUUCAUUAAAUCCAUGAAUGUCGCAGGGGCAUUGGUCAAAUCGAAAGGCAUAACCAAAAACUCAAAGUGCCCAUACCGGGUAUGGAAGGCAGACUUAGGGAUAUCCACCUCCAUAAUCUUUAACUGAUGAUACCCGAAUUAAAGAUCAAUUUUGAAGAAAAACUUAGCACCCUGCAACUGAUCAAGCAAAUUGUUAUCUUGUUCAACUACCGAUAAUCAAUACACAUCCGAAGGGAACCAUUUUUUUUACAUACAAAUAACACUGAUGUACCCCAUGAGGACACACUAGGAUGGAUGAAACCCUUGUCUAAAGAUCAUUGAGUUGAUCCUUAAGCUCCUUCAACUCAGUUGGAGCCAUUCUACAUUGAGGAAUAGAGAUUGGACGAGUGUCCAGAUCAAGAUCACUCCCAAACUCAAUCUCCCUAUCAGGAGGAACACCAGGAAAGUCAUCAAGAAGACCUUAGUAGAUUUAUUCACCACUGGAAUAGAAUUCAAAUAAGGGUCAUCUGAGUUAGAAUCUUUAACCCGAACUAGAUGAUAGAGACACCUCUUGGAGAUUAAUCUCCAAGAUCUAAGAUAAGAUAUGAACUUCCCCUUAGGAGUUAGGGAACCAUCCUCCCACUCCACAACUAUCUCAUUAGGGAAUUUAAAGACAACCUUACGAGUAUCACGGUCUAGAGAUGCAUAGAAAAAGUAAAACUAAUCCAUCCCUAAUGUGACAUCAAAAUCAACUAUAUCUAGUUCAAAUAGAUCUACCAAAGUCUCCCGACCACGCACAGAUACCACAUAAUCCCUAUAGAUUUUGCUAGCUAUCAUAAAGUUACGCACUGGGGUAGAAAUAAAAAAGGACUCAAAAUACACUCUGGACCAAAAGCAAAAUGUACAGCCACAAAUAAGGUCACAUAAGAGAGAGAGGACCUCAAAUCAAGUAAAUAGUACACAUUAUGAAAAAAGAGUUUCAAUAUACCAGUAAUAACAUUAGGCGAUGCCUCAGACUCCUAUCGGGUAGUGAGAGUCAUGACAUUAGGCGAUGCCUCAGACUCUUGUCAGGUAGUGAGAGAAUAAAGACAGUUCCAAACAUUGUCGAAACUAGAUGGUGCACCCUUUGGUGUCGAAGCUAAUGAUGAAGCAACAGGAACCUUGUCUGCCCCCGAAUCAACCGUAGCCACUAAAAAGUUAUUAAUCAUAUGCCCUGGCUGACCACAACUAAAGCACUUAUCCCUUUUUUCCUUAUAAUAACCCUAAUAUAAUCUACCACAGAACCUACAAAGAGGCUAUGAUGGAGCUGACUGGGCCUACUAUCCUAAGAUUGGGCACCUUGUGCCUUAAAGUUAUCGCCACCUUAGAAAUUCCUACCACCAGACAGCUUUGAGUAGGGAGCAUUAGCCUUUGAGUAAGACCCAGAGUUGCCCCACUUCUUCUUGGGCCACUUCUCUUCAUCUCUUUCACUCUGUUGUUGUCCACCACCUUGCUCAGAGAACUUAAAUAUAUUGCCCUGCCUCUUUCUUAUUUUAUCGUUCUUCUUCUCUUCUUCUAGCUACUGCAUGUAAUAACCAUCCUAGAGAUAUCUAUGUCCUUGAUCAACAAGGUAGCCUUAAUCUCCAAUAUCAAAUCUCUGGAAAACUAGAAAGCAAACUUUCUUAUUCUAUCUUUCAUGUUAGAAACCAUCUCGAGAGCAUACCGAGAUAACUGGUGAAACUUUAAGGGAUACUCCUUGACUGACAUUUUGCCUAGCCUCAGAUUGACAAACUCUUCUACUUUUUCUUCCCUCAACUCCUGAGAAAAGAAGCAAUCCAAGAAAGCAUUAGAGAAAUCUUCCCAUAGGGAUGACUUAGCCUCAUCACCCCUUGACUGAUCCCAUUCCUUGUACCACUAGUACACCACAUUUCAACUGGAAGGCAGGAAACUACUGGCCCUCCACAUUUGUGGCAUGCAUAACUCGAGAAAUCUUUUCCAUUUCAUCCAGAAAACCUUAUGAAUCCUCCUCCACCUUAACACUAGUAAAUGUCAGAGGGUUCAACCUUAUGAACUGGCCAACCCUCGUGGCAUCAUAAGAUGGAGUAACAAAUGCACCACGCUCAGCCUGAGAAGCUACCAACUAAGCCAACAUAUGGAUAGACUGACAAAACUUAACAUUCAUCACAUCAUCCUAAGGAGCUCAAGAAAGACAGGAGGGAACUAGUGUAACUCUAGAAUGACAAUCAGGAACUAGACCCCAUAAGUAGAUCAAGUCCCAUUAGCAUUGUCCACGGGUGGGACAAAGGAGUUUCCAUGAGCAUUAAAUAGUUGAGGUGGCAUAAUCUAAAAAGAAAACAAAUAGGAAUUAGAGUAGAAUUAAAGACCUUAGACUCUACAGCUUGAUAACAAAAUAUGAGAAGGAUAAAUAUUCCUAGAUACCUCGUAGCCUCUCCCUUAUGAGUGUGGCAUGCUACCCAGCCUUAAAAUAGACUCUACUUGACAAGACUUUAUGAACUCCCAAGUGACCAUGAACUUAGGUCUCUAAUACCAAUCUGACAAGACCAAAACCAGGACCUAGUCAUGUCGGGCAUCUAAAGUUUGACCCGGACCAGAGACCAACCCCAAUACCCAACUAUAACUAUCCUAUACCCAAUGUCAAAUAAAUUUUAAACAUAUAACUAGAUAGAAUAAUUAUAAUUGAUAGGCAUUUAAUAAAGUCCAUAACCAUAACCAUCCAAACAUCUAACUAAGAAUCCAGUCAGUAUCAGUCUUCAUACCAAUAUCGAUGCCAAGGCAUAUACCAAUACUGACACCGCCAAUUCCCAUAGUAGUCAUACAAAGCCUCUAAUAGAAAUCAAAGAACAUCCUAUCGGGACAUACCCCCAACCAUAGCCAAAAACAAAGUCCAAUAAAUAAACAAGAAUAUGAAAAGAAGUACAUGGCAUGAAAUAGAGUCUUCUGGAGUAUGGAAGCUUACUACUUCAGUCCAACACAAAGUUGUUCCCGAAUCCAAGAUCAUUGAGUAGGAGGAGUAGUAUGGCCGAUUCCUACAUCGCGUGGGGAUACAUUUCCCGAAGAUGGGUUAGCGGAUGAAUGCUAGUAUGUACUCAGGAAUAAGGAUAAAACAAUGCCAUUAUUCAAAAUCUAAGUAAAUAACCCCAUGCAACAAUAUACAUACAUAUAUAUACCAUACCAGGAAAGGGAAUAACUAUAUGCAACCACAUACAUACAUAUAUAUACCAUGUCGGGAAAGAGAACUGGGUUUAGCAUGAAUUUAAGACCUUUAACUUGGGAUUAUUUAGCUCUGUCAUCCUAAAUCCACCCAUGGGCUAUAUGGGUCCAUCCCCUUACUAAAAAAGCACCGGCGCGUAUUAGCCGCAUGAGUUGGAGAAAAAUUUAAGAUGAAUAGUACAUCUCCUAAAUAUAAGUGUGACAUGAUACACACAGUCACCAAGACCAACCUCACAUCAGCAAACAUGAGUUUCCAGUUUUGGUCCCCCUGGGACCACCACAUUUCAUGACUUUGCUAACACAUCCCUCUUUAAGCCCAUAUUAAAACUAUUUACACACAUCCAACCAAUUACCAAGGAGUCCUUUUUAUUAGGCAUUAACCAUUGGUAUCAUCAUAACAAACCCAGAGCUUACAGGUCUAUCCAUUUAUGUCAUACAAAAGACAUUAAACCAAUUUGACUCCAAAGUUUUUGUUCAAACCAAUACCAUGGACCAAGGACUUUCCAAUAAAUUUAAAAUCAUUUAAACCAAUUUAGGUUCCAUUACUAGAUUAUGAAAUGCAAAGUUUUCAAUUAUAGUCAAAUUAUGUAACAAAAUCAUUCUCAUAGGCAUUUUAACAAACAUGUUGAGGGCAUAAGAUUUUUCCAAUACCAAAACCAUAUAUCAAUUGACCAUUCCCAUGCAACCACAUGUUCAAACCACAAUUAUAACAUAAAAACAUAAGAAAACAUGGGAAAACAUUAUCCAACAAAGAACAACCAAAACCCCCCAAUAUAUACUUCAAAACCCAAAACAAUACCACAAUAAUGCUAUGAAAAUCAUUCAUUCAAAUAUUUUUUUGGUUGAGCUAAAAAUGAGAGAGGAGUAACAUGCCUUAAACAACAAGGAAAAUGAAUUUAAAACACCCUUUAGAGCCUUAAUUGAUUAACUUGGAGAAAACCCUAGUCUUUCUUGAACCAAGAUAUUGAGAGAGAUUUUAGAGUGUUUAGAGAGUGUUUGAUUGUGAAUAAUAGGUUAAGGAAACACACAUCCAACCAAUUACCAAGGAGUCCUUUUUAUUAGGCAUUAACCAUUGGUAUCAUCAUAACAAACCCAGAGCUUACAGGUCUAUCCAUUUAUGUCAUACAAAAGACAUUAAACCAAUUUGACUCCAAAGUUUUUGUUCAAACCAAUACCAUGGACCAAGGACUUUCCAAUAAAUUUAAAAUCAUUUAAACCAAUUUAGGUUCCAUUACUAGAUUAUGAAAUGCAAAGUUUUCAAUUAUAGUCAAAUUAUGUAACAAAAUCAUUCUCAUAGGCAUUUUAACAAACAUGUUGAGGGCAUAAGAUUUUUCCAAUACCAAAACCAUAUAUCAAUUGACCAUUCCCAUGCAACCACAUGUUCAAACCACAAUUAUAACAUAAAAACAUAAGAAAACAUGGGAAAACAUUAUCCAACAAAGAACAACCAAAACCCCCCAAUAUAUACUUCAAAACCCAAAACAAUACCACAAUAAUGCUAUGAAAAUCAUUCAUUCAAAUAUUUUUUUGGUUGAGCUAAAAAUGAGAGAGGAGUAACAUGCCUUAAACAACAAGGAAAAUGAAUUUAAAACACCCUUUAGAGCCUUAAUUGAUUAACUUGGAGAAAACCCUAGUCUUUCUUGAACCAAGAUAUUGAGAGAGAUUUUAGAGUGUUUAGAGAGUGUUUGAUUGUGAAUAAUAGGUUAAGGAAGCCUCCAAAUGUGUUUUAUGUCAUAGGGUUCAAACAGAGUUAUGAGAGAAAAUAUCCAAAAUACCCCCAACUUAAAAUGCAAAAAGGACGCAGGAGGGUACGGUUGAUCCCUCAACUCGUAUCCAUAUCAUACUAGUGGUAUUCUAUAUUCGUAUCUCGAUUAGAAAGUUGGACACCACAUUCUGUCAAACAUACGACUCCUUAGCCUAAAUCAUACAAUCACCAUAUGACAAUUACCCUUUAAGUUAUACCCUAAGUAGAACAUCAAGGCUAGACACUUGACAACAUAUGGAUGGACACCAUACCCCUCGUAUCAUGAACGUAUGACUUAUCACCACCAAUCUAUAACCAUGAUAGAAACUUAACCACUAAAUACUAGACACCCUAUGAGUUAGGUCACCUAACCCGUACCCAUACCAUACGACUAGUAUGGUGAGUUAUAUAAUGAUCAGAAAGCUCAAGACUCAAGAAAUUUGCAAGGGCCAGAACCUAGGGUGUUUCAAAUCAGCUGCAACCUUUCUUCUUUAUUUUAUAGGGACAUGGUCCUUAUUAUUUCCUUUGUCACCUCCAGUCUUGAGAUAUUCCUAAUAAUCCAUUUUGUGCAUUAGUCAAGUCUUUAAUAAAGUGCUCAAGAUUUUUAUGUUUGUGACAAACCUUAAUAGUGCCUCUCUUUUUGUUGUUGCUUCCUCUUUUUUGAAACUGGCCACUUUUAUUCAUAGCUCUAACAAUCCUUUUUGCCAAAUAGGCAACAUUUGUGUCUUCUUCACUUGAAUCAAACUUUGAAGCCUUCAAUGCCAGAGAUUUUCUCUUUUUGCUUCUUUCUUUUGUUGCCCUUGCUACUUCUUGAGUUCAUGAGUCUUCAAAUUACCAAUAAGUUUAUCCAUUGUGAGAGUUUUAACGUUUCUUGCCUCAGUAAUGGCAUCCACUUUGCUAUCCCAAGAUUUUGGAAGAACACCUAUAAUUUUUUUCACCUGUUUAUACAAAGGAAUAACUUCUCCAAAGCAGUGCAAUUCAUUGGUGGUUAAAGUGAAUCUAGUAUGCAUCUCUUAGAUAGUUUCUCCUUCUUUCAUGGUAAAGGUUCCAUACUGAGUAGUUAGCAUAUCAGAUUUUGAAUCCUUCACAUCAAUGGUUACUUCAUGAGUAGUCCUAAAGCAAUUCCAAAUUUCCUUAGCAUUUUCACAAGUAGAUAUCCUAUUAUCUUCAUCAAGUCCUAUGCCAUGGAUAGGGAAUUUCUUUGCCUUGUAAUUCUUCUCAACCUUCUUUUAAUAUUCAUCAUCAAACUCUCUCUUAGGUUUAACAACCAUCCUUGUUAUGUCUCAUUCUUUGACCUCUCUAAUAGGCAUAUGUGGACCAUCAAGUAUUACGUCCAUCAGCUCAUUGUCCUUAGCUAUAAUAAAGUCAUAUAUCCUAGUUUUCCACCACCCAUAGAAAUGUCUAUUAAAAUAGGGUGGUUUAGUGGUAGAUUGCCCUUCUUCUAGAUUAGGUGGAGCAUCCAUGAUCAAUAAAUCACUUUAGGGAUGAACCUUUAAGAGUUUCCUUGCUCUAAUAAAAAUUAUUGAAACGUGGGAGGUUGCACCAUACUAUGAGGGACCAGGUCCCUUAGAGUUAGACACAGUCAAUAAAAUAGUAAAGUAGUAGAAAACUAAAACUUUACUAGAAAUUAAAUAACACAAAUAUUUAACAUAGAAACCUCCUUACUCAAGGGAGGAAAAACUACGCCUUAACCUCACAAGGACUCAACAAUUCACCAUAAUUAAACUAUUGAUUAUAGACUCAAUGGAAACAUAAAUCUAAGCUCUACCAGUUUGUAACAACUCAAUUACAAACCUAUCUUGACAACUCUGCAAGAACUCACCUCAAUAUUGAUUAACUCUAACCAAUAUCAACUCAGGUUACUCUACCUAAGCACUCUCAAGGAUAUAAGAAAAGGACAUUACUCUUAUAACAUGAGUAAUUUAAUUAUAGACGCAAACAUUACUCAAGAACACUCACUGUUUUAGCACACACAAGAACUAUAAACUUAAGCAAUGUUGUAAAGUUGAGUUUUAUCUGAUUUCUCACUUGAACAAUAAGAUUGAAAAAACUAGUGAAUUGGGGAGCAUUCUUUUAUAUUUAUAGCUGGAUAAUGAUUAAGGUAAAAAUAUGAUUGGGAUAGGUGUCUUGAUAGGUACAAGCUCACCUGUAUAGUUUGUUACACUAACAGAUAAAACUGCAUAGGCCAGUAAUAGAUGUAUUGAGUUCAUGAAGACCUAGGGACCUGGUCCCUUGUUGUCAUCUGAUCAUCAUCAAAAUAAGAUAUACCAGGAUUAUUUCUUAUAUAUGUGCUAGGAAACUUUUCUCAAGGAGUUACUAGUCUUACCUCGCUUAUAUUCAUGAUGUUACUGUGGGCUAUUUUUUACCCACACUAGCAGAUCUAGAGUAGAUUGGGCAUACCUCUAAAGCUGAUAGGGCACAUGUCCCCUUUCGGGGGCUUUCUAUCCCCAUUUUGCCUUUCCUUAGCCUCUUUUAAAAUCUCGCGUCCAUUCUAGAUCAUCAUAAUAAUCUAAUUGUCACCUUUUGGAUAGCACCAAGAAGUCUUCAAGUGCCUCUUGACCUAUAAGCAUCCUCUUGUAUGAUCUGAAAAGCCAUUUGGAUUGUAUCAUUUUCUCCUACUUGAAAAAGAUUCAUCCCCGAAUCUACAACUUUCAAUCAUAAGAGGAAAACACAAAAUUAAUAUUUUGUCGAAGCACAAGGGUUAGCAUAAGGGCUAAAUUCAAAACAUCUAUGCUAAGGAGACACCCAUUUAACAUUUAACCAAACAUCCUUUAAAGGUAAUGGAAGAGAAGCCAAUAUUUAAGUUGCAAAGGAGUUGGCUAUGAUAAGCAUCAAUAAAUUCUCUGAAGUUAUCUCCAUUAACAAUGUUACCAAACAAAUCAUCACAUGUUGGAACAACUAAGGUUAGAAUCAAGGAGUCAUUAGGGUGUAGAUUACCCUUCCAUUCACAAAAAAUCAUGUUUACACACAAAACAUUCUUAGCAUUAGCAUAACUAUGCUCACAAACAAAGAAAAUGGAAUGAAUAGAGCUAUGAUUACCUGAGGUAAUACCAAGAACCAGAUUACAUAAAUGUAAGAACAAAUAUCUUAAGCAUCUCACUUGAACAACCCCCAAGAACGAUCCAACUUGUCUAUCCACAAAAGUGUUACAAGAAUCAAGGGUUAAGCAUUCUUUAUCAAGUAGGAACCAUAGACUCUUCUUAGAAUAACAAAUAGACUGACCAUACGGGUUGGGGAUUCCACUUAUUUCAUGCACAUUCAAGUCAUUCCAAAAUAUGGUUAGAAAGAAAUCAACACCAUCUAGGUAGGAUUUUAAGUCAAAUAUCUUUAAAAGAUUAUCUACUUAAGGAUAAAUAUCAUCAUGAGUCCAAGGAAUGUUAGGAAUAAAAUGGGUAGGUACAUACCUUUGGAGAAAAUCCUUGAGCUUGCUCUCUUGUCUUCUAUACUUGCACCAUGUGGCAUUUCCCUCUCAUGCAUCAUCCUGGAAGUUCACACAAGAUUAGAGCCAAAUAUAGGGAAUAACAAUGGCUUGGUUUUGUCACUAAGCUCUCCUUCUUAAUCCCAAAGCUCCUUAUCUUCACCAUUAAUAUCCCUCCUCAUCAUGAGGUUAAGGUUCAUGACCUCUCUUUAUUUGGUCCAAACAUCCUAAUGGGGAACUUUCAUCAUCAAUCCACAAGGUACACUAAAGUCCUCUUUAACUUCCGCUAAUUCCUCUUCACUUACAAGGUAUUCAUCCUCUUGAGGAUUUUACUCACCACCAUCUUCAUGGGUCACCUUAUCCCCAACAAAGUAAAUAUCACCUUCUAACAACACUAUGUUCCUUCGAUUGGGGCAUUCACUUACCUUAUGACCCCAACCUUGACAUUUAAAGCAAACAAUACCUUUAAAAUUGAGAGCAGAAGAUGGAUUACCGUUAUUCGUUGGUGGAUACCUUUGGAUUGCCUUCUCAAUGGGAUUCUUCUCUACAAACUUAUUGGAAUCCUUGAUCUUAUUCCAUCCGGAGGGUGUAGAAGAAUUGUAACUUCUAUUGAAGGACUUCUUUGCAUUAUUGUUCCUUUCAGCCUCAAUGGCUGCUUUAACAAUAUCUUCUAUUCAUUCAAACUUGUGGGCAACUAGUUAAGAAGAAAUAUCAUAAUCUAACCCGCCUUUGAAUCGAUCCACACAAUGAUUUGGGGGUUUGAAAAUCUCAAGACUAAGAAUUAAGUUUUAAAACUCCUCACAAUAGUCUUCCACACCUCUACCUCCUUGCCUCAAUUUAUAGAGCUUUGUUAGUUGAUCUUGUUCAAACCUUUCCAUUACAUACCUCUCUCCCAUGAGUGCCCUCAAUUCAUUCUAAUUCGAGAGGUUGGUAUUAAUCCUUGCACUCUUUAAUUCUCCCACCAAGUUGAAGAAUACCCUUUAAAUUGAGUAAUUACAUGAGAGGCUUUCUUGUGUCCAGUUAACUUAUUAAGUUGGAAAAUCUUAUUGCAUUGUACUUCCUAGUAAAGGUAGACCGAUGGAUCACUAGUUCCUUUGAAGGUAAGAAGAGUGAUCUUGAUUGAGUUAAAACCCAUGUCUCAGCCCAUAUUUCCUUCUUGAUCCCAUUAACGAUCCUCUUAAACUUGGGAAUGGUUUCCCAAGUUUCCUCUUCUAUAUGGAACUGGACCAAAUAUUUCUCCUCGUCCUCUAUGUCCUCCCCCUUGAUCUCAUCUUCUAGUUCAUACAAAUUCCAUAAAGAGAUCCACUUUACCUAACCUUACAUAAGGUUUCUUACUUCCCACAUCAUCUAUUUGGACUGGUUAAUUAUGGUUAGCCAAGAUUUGAGGUGGUUAGUUUUGUAUAAUGGGAUGGUUUUGUGGGUCUUCUUGAUUGACUUGAUUUAAUUAGGGUUGCAGUGGAUGAACGGGUUUUGAUUAUUUAGGUAAAUAGUACCUUGGAGAGGGGGAUCUUGUACUUUCCUCGGGGGAUUGUACAUUUGAUGAAGUAUUUUUGGAGUUAUAGUAGAGGAGGUGUUAUGAGCAUGGCCACUAGAUAAAGAAUAAGGUUUUUGAGGAGUUGAUGUGGUGGAAUCUAAAUGCCCUUCCACAUUAACUAUCCUUCCAUUCAAUCCCGAUAAUUCACUUCGCAUUUCAUUUACAUCUUGUUUCACACUCAUUAUGGCCGCCAUUAUAGCUUCUAUGUUUAUCUUACUCGAAGCUCUUGGGAUAUAUUCUCCCAAUGCCAUACCUAAAUAAAGUAAAUAAUAAAACUAAAACUAAAACAAAAAACAAGUUAAGGAUAGGAAAUCAACCUCACAAGCUCUCAAAGUUCACACAAUCGUGUUGUCUCUCAAUUGGUAUCGAAAGCGUUGAUAGAUCAUUUAUACUCCGAUGAGAAUUCUUUGUACUAAUUUUGGAUUGAGGUUGGAAUGGAUUAUUUUUUGAAAUGACUCAAAAAAAUAUAUACGGACUUGAGUCAAGAAGCUAUGACGAAUUAAAAACUAGAAAAGCUUAAAAGAAAAGAAACGUUGAAAGAAAUGGGACUCAAAAACUAGUCAAUCAACUUAGUAGAUAAAUUAAUUAUUUGUUGAGUAGUUUAUGAAUAAAAAGACUAUAUUAGGAAUCAAUAAAUUGAAACUAAAGAAUUAAAACUUGAACAAAAUGGAAUCCAAAAGCUUUAAAUGUGUUUGGAAGCCUGAUUUACGGUCAAUUGGGGUUGAUCUGCAUUGAGGAGUUCUUGCAGCGGGUGGGGUGCAUCCCCAAUGCACCUUGGAUGUAGAGGUGGACUUAGCUACUUCCUUGAGGUGUAGCCACAGGUCUGGAGCAAACCAGGCGCAACUACAGCGCAGGUCACCCACCCCUCUCUUGAAUGGGUGAUUUUUACCUUCUAGUGGUCCCUUUUUGUACUCUCUCUUGGAAUAUACUUUGGAAUUUUCUUAGAUGCACAAGUAAAAACACUUUUUCACUACUUUUCAUCCUUCUUUUUGUAUCAAACACCCUCUUUUGAUAAAAUUUCAGCUUGAAGAUUUGAAUUUCUCCAAGAACACUAACUUCUUCUCCCCAAGCUCGGAUGAGUUAAAAUUUUGAACGUAAGAACUUUUCAACGUUCUAAACUCAUUCCCAAUAUAGUUUUACCAAUUUUUCCAGAUUUUUCAACCCACUUCACUUUUCUUCAAGUUCAAGCUCUUAACAAUGGUAGCUCACUUAAUAUGACUUCGAUUAAGCUCAAAUUUGAAAACUAGACUCUAAUAGUGUUAGGGAACUCAAAUCUAACACUAGAAACACAAGAAAAACACAUAAUCAAAAACUCAUAAUUUGACCUAAGAAUAAAAUGUGAAUAGUAACUUCUUUUAAAUUUUCAAUUUUGACACUUUUUUUUGUUGAUUUUCAAGAUAACAAACCCAAAAUUGACUUUGCAGGAAUAAAAUCAAGCUCGGAUCUAAUACCAAAUGAUAAUGAAACAAAUGAUGGAAUUGAAACUAAGUAAAGAAAUGAAGAAAACAAAGAUAAAGAUAGAUAGAUAGAUAGAUAAAGCAAUAAGAUAGACACAAGAAGGAAAUGGAUAACAAACAAAGGGUAUAUCAAACCCUUAAUCCUCUAUUGAAUAUCCGAUCAAGCACCUAAAUCUUACAUAGAUCUCAAGGGAAUUAGAUUCCCAAGAAACCCACACUUCUAAACGGAAGAUUAACACAAGUGAUUCUGCGCUUGCCUCGCACUCUCACAAGAGUAUUGUCAUGAUCUAAACCAGGGUCUGUCCAUGACGGGUAUCUCAAUUCCAGUAAAGACAGGAGACAACCCCCUUUGCCUAGCCAAACAGAACAAAACACAUAUAGCAGCGGAUGUAUUUCAAACAUAUAGUAAGAUAGAAUAAAUGUAAUCUCAAAGGAGUCUAAGAAUAUCAACAACAAUACCCAGUUUGCAAUAAUCCACAAAGUCUCUAUGACAAAACCUAAUAGAAUCUAAGUCGAUACAUGCCUUCGACGAUAGCCAAAGAAACCAUAUGAAUAGUUUAUGACAUAAGAGAAUAGAAAAAUAAUGAAAUAAAGCUCUUCCAGAGAAUGGAAGCUCACCACUCCAAGCUAACUCCUGACACCCUAAAAUCCUAUCACUGUGUAGAAAAGUAGAAGUAUUAAUGUUGCCUGCAUCACAUGGGGAUAUAGUAUCUGAUAAUGAUGAGCGGGUUGAGUGCUAGCAUGUAACACAGGGCAAGGAUAAAAUAAUGUCAGUUAAAAGUUAAAUUUCAAACUCACUAUACAUGUUCAUAUGCAUAUGUAUAUAUAGUAGAUGUUGGGGUAGGGAACAAGGUUUAGCAUGAUAGUAAAACAUUAUCUAGGACUAUGUAGCUAAGCUGUCAUAAACAGGCACCCACGGGCUAUAUGGGUUCAGCUUUCCCUGCUAAAAGAGCCCCAGUGUGUGUUAACCGCAUGAACCAGAGGCAUCAAGGAAGACCAAAAAAUGCCCCGAGCCCACGUCAACCUAGAUACAAAAUGUAUCAAUAGUGUGAACCAUACACACGGUCAUCUAGACCAACCCUCAAGUCGGUAAAUGUGAGUUUCCAGUAUAAGUCAUUCAAGACUCACACCUUCACCUCUUAGCUACAUAACACCCAUUAAUCCCAAUUAAAACAACUUUCACAUAACCCAUUCAUUAACCAAGGAAUCAUAUAUUAAGGCACACCAUGGUAUUGUCAUACCUAUUUAGCUUGCAAGCUUAUACUUAUGCCAUUACAAUUCCAUUAACUUGAGGGAAUGCCUCGACACCCUUUGUUCAUUAUAUCAAGUUGGAGGAAUGCCUCAACCUCCUUUAGUUUAUCAAAAUAAAACAUAGCCAACAAGGCUUCAAAAUCUAUUUUUAUUGUUUAAUCAUUUAUGUAAUGCUAUAGUAUAGGUUAGUAAAUCAAACUAAGUGACAAUUCCAUAAUUCAAAGCCAUUUACACAAGUGGGUUCAGGGAAUACAAUUAUUCAAAAUUAAUUUCCAAGUUCAAAACAUCAAUUUGAGGGAUUUUAUCGACCCUCAUUUUAAUUCCCCCGCCCAUGCACCCUAUUAGUUCAAAAACAUCCACUUCAAAGCAUGAACAACUCAUGAAAACCAUGGGAAAAUAAUUCAAGGAUCAACCAUUUCAAAACCAUCAACCCGUGUUAAAACUCACAUUAAAAUCCAUACAAUUAAACCAUUUAAAAUACGUUCUUUUCACAAAAUAAGAUUUGGAGAAGAGUAACAUGCUUGAGAUAUUACGAUUUACGAAAAGAAAUUAACCCUUGGAAGUUCUAGAGACCAAUUUCUUAAAACCCUAGCUUAUUCAUGCCUUAGGGAUUUAAGAGAGUUUAGGAGAGUGUUGAUGACUGGUAGGUAUUGAAAAUAAUGCCCAAAGGUGAUUUAUGGUUGUAGGAUCUAAGUAGGGGAAAAGGGAAAUGACCAGAAUGUCUUUAAUAAAUAGACUAAAAAUUAACCACACAAUCGCUACGGGUCACAUGAUGACUCAUAAUGACUGGAUAUGAGUCAUUUCUUAGACUCAGAGUUUGGUCAGUAUCAUAGGUAUGCACACUGGUCUGACUAUGAUUCGUACCUUAUAACUCAUACUCAGACCUUAUGACUCGUAUGGUCUAGUUGUUGUAUUGGAAGAAACAUUUAGGCAUCCUUACUGGUUAGGCUACGAAAACCGCUAUAUGACUUGUAAUGGGUCUUGACAACUCAUUGGGUGAUAAUCAUGACCAAUACAAAGACUUUUCCAAACACACUGGUCAGGCUACGAUUACAGUCCUACAACUCAUAUGAUAAGUCUUAGUCUGGGCAGUGAGCUCAGAGGUUAAAAAAAUUUUAAGGGCCAAAAUCUGGGGUGUAAGUAUACAUUCAUAAUUUAUCAAAGUCUAACAACUAAAUGGAAGAAAAGACAUAUUUAUAGUCUAGGGUUAAUUAUUACAUCAUAUGGGCCAAAAAAUUAUCCAUUUGGGAAAGACAAAGCAUAGAAGCCCAUUAAGAAUUCCCUUAGGCAAUCCAAGCACACAUGGGAUGCAUCUUCAAGUCAUGUGAGUUAUUUUUGACCCACUCUAGCAGAUCUAGAGUCGGUUGGGCACACCUACAAAGCAGAUGGGGUGCAUUCUCCUUUCGGGGGCUUUCUAGCCUCAUUUUGCCUUUCUUUGGCCUCUUUAAUAUCUCUCGUUCCUCCUCAAUCAUCAUAAUAAUUCAAUUAGCACCUUUUGGAUAGAACCAAUGAGCCUUCAAGUGCCUCUUGAACUAUAAGCCUCUUCUCUAAUAAUCUGGAGGCCAUUUGGAUUGUAUUACAAUACAAGUUAUGGCAUGGAUUUUAUUUCCUGAUCUUUUACCUACUUUUUUUGUGAUGAAUCACUUUUUUCAUUAGAAGAAACUAUGGGAAAAACCAUCCAUCUUGAUAUGUCCACUAUUAACAAGGCCCGACCUAGUUGUGCGAGGGUGAAAGUCCAAAUUGAUUUAGCAACUAAGUUACCUGAUAAAGUGGAGAUAGAAGUGAAUAAAACAAAAGAAGCAAGGAUUCAAUCAGUCAAAACUCGAUAUGAUAUGCUUCCUAAAUAUUGUUUCAAGUGUAAAGUUCAAUGUCAUGAGAAGGUGGAGUAUAGAAUUUUACAUUCAGAAUUGAAAAAUUAUGUGCAAAAAAGACAUAAAUAGGAAGUUAGUUUUUGCUAAAUGGAAUCCUACAAGUCAAAAAUUUCAAAUUGAAAAAGGAACCAACAAAUUUCUAGAUAAUGUUGUAGACAUGAAAAAUGAGGAAAAGGUGUUACAGGCCAAUAAAACAAUCAGUACUAAGAACUCAUUUGGCAUCCUUCAACAACAAGAUGAAGGCAGUUAACUUACUCAAGCUACGGGAACAAUGACCUCAAUGGUGGAGGGAAAGGAAAAUAUGAAGAAGAAGAAAAAUAAUGUAAAAGAAAAGCUGAGUAACAUGCAAAAUAUAGAUCAACAUAAAUCUGUUUAGUAGAAAUAAAAUAGGAAAAAUAUAUAUUCCAUGAGUUAAUAUGGAUAAUCAGGUGGAGGGAUGUAUUACAACUGACAAGGACAACAUCAAUGAGACUAGCAACAAUAGUUGUUCAAUGGGAACUGCAGAACCUAUUCAUGAUAAAUAUAUGAUAUUAAAUGUAGUGGAUCACAAAGAUACUCAACAACUUACAUGUACCAACAAAAAUCUAAGGAAAAGAGGCAGAAGUAUAUUGCUAGAACAGGGGAAUGUAGGUGUAAAUCAAAAUAAAUUACAUAGUAGUGGAAAAUACAUAGAAGACAUUCAUAGAAACAAAGAAAGUCCACAAAUGCAAAAAAAAAAACAUGUUGAUUAUUGAUAGUCACAGUGCAAGAGGAGGUGAUAUUGUGAAUAAUGAUAUACCUGAUGACAUACAUUCAAAUAGGGUUCAAUUAGCCCUUGCUCAAGCUACAUAAAAUGAGGCACUUUAGGUGGAUGAAUCAGGUGUUAGAGGUGAUGAGGGAUUUCUUCCAAAUAGCAUAGAAGGGGAGGCAAGUAAUCUGGCAUUAGCAGCAUUGAAAAAAUCAAACAACAAAAAAUUACAUAAUUUGGUUUCCCACCAAAUAACAAAAGAGGUAAAUCAUGAAAGUACAGAUACAGAUGACAUAUGGAUAAAAGAUACAGAAGAAGGAAAUAAUCAAAAAAAACUAAACCAAGUAAUGAAAGAAGCAGGUUUAUCACCACGUGCAAAUAACAAAGGUAAAAAGAGUAGGAUCAAAGUUGAAAAGCCUACAAGGACCAGUUCUAGGAGGGGUGGUAAAGCCAGCAUUCAAUGAAUUUAAAAGCACUUUUCUGGAACAUCAGAUUAGUUAGGUCACAACAUGUUUUCCACAUAGUACAAAUGUUACAUAGGCAUCAUAUUACUUUUAUUGCUUUGAUGGAGUCUUUUCAAGAUAUCAGACACAUAUAGAGGUAUAAAAGAAUAUUGGGCAUGAAAUAUACAAAUUAUAAUAUGAAUGUAAAGAUAUGGAUUUUUGUUUAAAAAAAUAUACAGGUGGAGACAUUAGCAUAUUCUGAUCAGCAAAUCACAUUUUAGCUAGUUGUUCAGAAUGAUCAAUAGGUGAUUAUUAUAGCUGUUUAUGCUAAAUGUGAUGUAAGUGAAAGAAUUGCUUUAUGGGAUCUAUUUACUCAUUGAGUCAUAAUGUUAGAGUAUCUUGGAUGGUAAGGGGACUUUAAUGUUAUCAUGAAUGAAGAAGAGAAAAUUGGAGGAUUACCAAUGUAUCCUAAUGUAUAUGAACAUUUUGCUUUCUACAUCAACCCCUGUGAUCUAUUUGAUAUUAAUUUAAAAGGGAGUCCAUUCACUUAGUGGAAUGGUAGGGCAGAUGAUCCAUGUAUUUUUAAGAGAUUAGACAUAAUCGUUAUUAACUAAGAGUUUUUGGGCAUUAUGGGGCGUAUUGAGGUUGAACAUCUAUCCAGGACACGAUCAGAUCAUGCUCCUUUGUUAUUCUCUUGUAGUGAUGAAAAUGUUCAGUUUCACAAGCCUUUUAGGUUUUUGAAAUUUUGGACUGAGAAAGAGGACUUCAAAGAAAUGGUAAGAUAGAAUUAGGUAUCAAAAAAAUGUAGGCAUAUCUUUAUCAAUUUAAAGCAAAAAAUGAAGAAAACCAAAAUGGCUCUAGCUUUAUGGAGCAGAUUCAUGUUUGGAGAUAUAUUUAAAUAAUUAGUCAUCAAGAAAUACAUAGUAAGAAUCAAAAAUGAUUUGUUUGAAGAAAGUCCUACUACUACUAACAAAAUAAUUUUUCAGAAGGCACAGGCUGAGUUGAGGUAGUGUUUACAUUAUGAAGAAGAGUAUUGGAGAUAAAAAUCUGGUAUUCAAUGAUUUUCAGAAGAGAAGGAAAUAUGAAAUUCUUUCUGGUGAAUGCUAGAAGGAAAAAGCUAGAAAUAACUAGAAUUUAGAGAGUUGAUGGUUCUUGGGUUGAAGAUAAUAAUUAGGUAGCUGUAGAAAUAAUUGAUUUCUACCAGAAAUAAUUCACUGGAUCAGUUGAGUCUGGUGCAUAUUCUUUUAUUAAUUUGAUUUCUACCCUAAUCACAAAAUAAGAGAAUAAUUUGUUGAAGGUUUGUCCUGACACUGAAGAAGUUAAAAAGGUAGUUUCUAAACUGAAUGGGGAUAACGCUUGUGAGCCAGAUGGUUUCACUGGACAUUUUCAUCAGUUUUGAUGGGACAUUGUUAGUGGUAAUAUUGUGAAGGUAGUUCAUGUAUUUUUUAUGUAAUGACACUGCCUAAAUCUAUCACUCAUACUAAUUUGGUUCUAUUGCCAAAUAAAGAGAAGGUCAAGAGAGAAGGUCUUGACCUUCUUUGACUUAAGACCUAUUAGUUUGAGUAAUUUUCCAAACAAAAUCAUAUUUAGAAUUCUUCAUGAUAAAUUAUAAGGUUUCUUACCUAGGCUCUCUCAAAAUCAAUCUGAUUUUGUUAAGGGAAAAAUUAUCACAGAUAAUGUAUUAUUGGCCAAGAAAAUUAUAUGCGAUAUUAAAAAAGGGAGUAAGGCUGCAAAUAUGGUAAUUAAGCUUGAUAUGACCAAAGUCUACGAUAGAGUGGAGUGAAAUUUUUUUAUGGAAAUGUUGGAGAAAAUGGGCUUCUCAAAUGUCUUUACUGAUAUGAUAUGGAGACUAGUAGCCAAAAAUUGGUACUCUAUCCUAAUAAAUAGGGAAGUUCAUGUCUUCUUCCAUUCUUCUAGAAGAGUAACGCAAUGGGGUCCUUUAUCCCCUUCUUUAUUUAUUAUUAUUGCUGAAGUUAUAACAGGGCACUUAAUAAUUUAUUCUCAUAUGAUGAUUUCAGGAGUUAUGGACUGACUAAAUAGAGUGAUCAAAUAAAUCAUCUUGCUUAUAUUGAUAAUACAAUAAUAUUUUUUUUGCUGACAGGUUUUCAUUGUAAUUAAUUAUGCAGAUCUUAAGAGAAUAUGAAAACCAAUCGUGUCAACAGGGAAAAGAGUGCCUUUUAUGUACAUAACAAGGUUACUCAUGCACAUGUUUAAUUGGUGGAGCAUUGUACUGGCUUUUCCAAGAGGUAAAUUUCCAUUGACAUAUCUGGUUGUGCUAUUGGACAUGCUAGGAAAAGAAAGAUUAAUUUUUUAGAGCUAUUAAAGAAGGUACAAAAUAAACUUCAGUUAUGGAAAGGCAAACUAUUAUCAUUUGGAGGUAAAGUUGUGUUGAUUAAUAAUGAUUUGCAGAGUAUCCUCAUUUAUCAAUUAUUCGAUCUUAUACCUCCAAAAUGUGUGAUUCAUGAUCUUUAUAGAUUUUUUGCUAAAUUUCUAUGGAACUUUAGAAAAAGAGGGAGGAGUAAACACUAGGUCUCUUGGACUAAUAUAUGUCUACCAAAAAAGGAAAGUGGUAUUGAUUUUAGAUCUUUUUUUUAUGUGUCUAAAUCCUUAUUUUCAAAGCUAUGGUGGUAUUUUAGAAUACAAAAAAAUAAUGUGGACUAAUUUUAUGAGAACAAGUACUGUAAAAGGCAUAGACCACAAGUAGUUGAAUGGAAAGGUGGUUCUCAAGUUUGGAAGUUUAUGUUACAGGCUCGAGAUUAUUUUGACCAAGAAAUAUGGUGGAAAUAUAAGUGUGGACAUGUUAGUAUUUGGUCAGAUAAUUGGACUCAAAAGGGAGCUUUACACUAUUAUCUCCCAUUAAACUAUAAUAAUAAUGGAUGAUUGGAAGAUGUGCAUCAAUUAAUGAAUCAUGAUGGGUGGAAUAGGGAUCUACUUAAGGAAAUUUUUUCUGAAGAUAGAUGCAAUCAUGUACUUAAUAAGAUUGGGACAAUAGGAUAUUUUAAUGCUUGGGAUAAUCCAUGGUGGAUGCCACAAGGUUCUAGAAAAUUUACAAUUAAAAGUGGUUGGACUAUCAUAAGACAGUCUGGGAAUGUCAAUGAGGAUUUAAGGUUUAUAUGGGAAAAGGGUAUACCUUUCAAAGUAUCUUUCUUCUUCUUGAGUUAUGAAAGAAAAUAUUACCUACAGGUGACUUUCUAGUCAGUACAUGAUGGGAAGAAAUGACUAAUUGUGUUUGUUGUGAGUUACCAGUUCAUGAAUCCUAUGAACAUCUCUUUGUUCAGUGUUCUGCAGCUAAUAAUUUGUGGAUAGUUUUUGCAUCAAUAUUGAAGUGUAGGGCCCUUUUCUUCAUUUAAAAUAUGUUAUCUACAAGUGGUGGAAUGCUAAUUAUUGUGCUAAACUUAGGCCCCUAUUUAUUGUUAUUCCUGUUUUCAUACUGUGGAAAAUAUGGAAAGAAGAAACAUCAUCAAACAUGAAGGUAGGAUGUCAAUUCAUGGCAUACAAUAGGAAAUAAAUUGGAAUCUGUAUUUGUUUGCUAAGAUAAGAUAUCCUUGGCUUAAUAAUAUCCCUAGUAACUGGCCUAUGAUGGUUAUGUUCUUGGAAGUUUAUAAACCUAAUAUCCAGGCUACUGUGGUCAAGUGGAAGCCUCCUAUCAAUGGUUUUUAUAAGUGCAAUAUUGAUGGUGCCUCUAAAGAUAACCCUUGUCCUAGUGGUGGUGCUUUCUGUAUUAGAGACAGUAAAGGGAAAUUUAUUUUUGCUAAGUCAUUCUCUUUUGAUAUCUUAACUAACUUAGAGAAAGAAUUUGUUUCCUUUAAGAAGGGUUUAGAGUAACGUGUGAGUCAAAAGUUGUUAACAGUUACUAUGAAAUAGAUUCUCUCAUUCUUAAGAAAAUCCUAGAUGGAAUCUGGGAGAUUUCCUGGAAGGUUUCUAUAUAUAUCAAAAGAAUUCAAUGGUUGAAGAGGCAAUGUCAGGUGGAGGUGUUGCAUACGCUAAGGGAAGGGAACAAACUGGUGAAUUUUUUAGCUAAUGAAGUUUUCUUUUUAGCAGGUACGCAAAAUAUAAUACACAUUGCUACAGGAUAUUGCAGAUGAAGGAAAAAUAAUUAUAAAAAUGGACAAGCAUUAAAUCCCAUCACUGAAGUUUGUCAAAUAACAUUUUUUUCUAUAUAAAAGGCAGUCAUAUUAAAUAACAUACCAGAUCUGAGAUAGCAAAUAACAAGAAAUGCAAAGGUCAAGGCACAUACAGAGGGGGAAUUGAUCCAAAUAGAGGUACAUAUAGCUAUAUUAACAUUGAUUGUCGAGCAAUAAAGUACAAGUACAUAUGUACAUUUUAGACUAGUGCAUGCGACAUGGGUAAAAUACUAAGCUUCAGAAAAGAGGGUUUUGUACCUUUUUCAUGCUUACUCAAAUCAUCUAAGUUAAUGUCCUUUGUCAGUGGUAUCAGCUUCUUGUUGAGCUCAAC